RNAcentral lists this microRNA (21 nucleotides) under Spodoptera frugiperda (fall armyworm). Its description in RNAcentral is "sfr-miR-10510-3p". The record is from miRBase by way of RNAcentral. Lineage: Eukaryota; Metazoa; Arthropoda; Insecta; Lepidoptera; Noctuidae.
UUGAAGUUGGGACGGCGACUU